This 378-nucleotide ribosomal RNA is filed under the name Vibrio sp. RNAcentral describes it as "bacterial SSU rRNA". It matches the Rfam family "Bacterial small subunit ribosomal RNA", at positions 957 to 1335 of the family's 1533-position model. The record is from RNAcentral. Lineage: Bacteria; Pseudomonadati; Pseudomonadota; Gammaproteobacteria; Vibrionales; Vibrionaceae.
UACCGCGAAGAACCUUACCUACUCUUGACAUCCAGAGAAUCCURCGGAGACGUGGGAGUGCCUUCGGGAACUCUGAGACAGGUGCUGCAUGGCUGUCGUCAGCUCGUGUUGUGAAAUGUUGGGUUAAGUCCCGCAACGAGCGCAACCCUUAUCCUUGUUUGCCAGCACUUCGGGUGGGAACUCCAGGGAGACUGCCGGUGAUAAACCGGAGGAAGGUGGGGACGACGUCAAGUCAUCAUGGCCCUUACGAGUAGGGCUACACACGUGCUACAAUGGCGCAUACAGAGGGCGGCCAACUUGCGAAAGUGAGCGAAUCCCAAAAAGUGCGUCGUAGUCCGGAUUGGAGUCUGCAACUCGACUCCAUGAAGUCGGAAUCGC